UGAUGGAGCACUGCCGCGUGUGUGAUGAAGGGUUUCGGCUCGUAAAACACUGUUGUAAGAGAAGAAUGACAUUGAGAGUAACUGUUCAAUGUGUGACGGUAUCCUACCAGAAAGGAACGGCUAAAUACGUGCCAGCAGCCGCGGUAAU
RNAcentral lists this ribosomal RNA (148 nucleotides) under uncultured bacterium. RNAcentral describes it as "partial 16S ribosomal RNA". It matches the Rfam family "Bacterial small subunit ribosomal RNA", at positions 384 to 524 of the family's 1533-position model. The record is from RNAcentral.